CAGGCCUGCUGGACCUGGGACAGGUGGAAGAGCCUAAGCAAGGGGAAGGCCGGGGUGCAAAAUCAGGCCUGCUGGACCUAGGACAGGUGGAAGAGCCUGUUGUUCCCUUGUAGCUGGGAUAACUGGAUCUCUGAUGGGGAGAAAGGGCUGCCACUUCUUGUGGCAUUAUGGAAGAGGAAAUGAGCUGGGUUCAAAUCCCGCCUGUCAGCUGCUCUCUGACCCCGGAGGGCUCCGCUUCCCUAGUGGCUGUGAGACUUGGGCCAUCUCGGACACAAAGACUUUCAGGGUGACCAGGAACAGACACCUGCAGUCUGGACCAAGAGGGGCAGCCAGCCUCGAAGCCCGACAGUGGCACGGAACUUCCCUCCAGCCCUUCUUAUGAGAGAGAGGCUCACUUGAAAGAAAAGUAAGAACACCUGCUGAAUUGGCUCUGAGCAAAACUAAUGGCCGUCGUGUAGCCACCAAACACAGGGGCCCUCUGGCCAGCACCCGCCCAUCUCCCUUCCUCACAGGCCAGCAGAAUCAGCAGCUCAGCCUCCCUGGGAGGACAGAACUGGGCCUCUGCCAGCAAAAGCAAUGCUGUAGUUCCACGGUAUGUUGAAAGUUAACUCCUGAGGACUUUGCUAGCCAGAUUAAGCUAAUGGAUGAAGCCAGAUUUAAGGUUAUACUCCAGAGGAAUUAACCUGUUGUAGCUGAAGCAAGAAAGGAAGCAACCUCUGCUCAGUUAGUAUGGACCUUAAAAAGAAAGGACAGUGCCGGCUCUGAAGUCAGGAGGACCGAGUUCAAAUGUGGCCUCAGUCACCUAAUACUUCCUGGCUGUGUGACUCUGAGAGAAAGAAAGAAAGAAA
Antechinus flavipes (yellow-footed antechinus) is the source of this 848-nucleotide long non-coding RNA. RefSeq lists it as uncharacterized. The transcript has 2 exons. The record is from RefSeq and is a predicted model, not a curated record. Lineage: Eukaryota; Metazoa; Chordata; Mammalia; Dasyuromorphia; Dasyuridae.